AACGAACGCUGGCGGCAUGCCUAACACAUGCAAGUCGAACGAGACAUUCGGGCUUAGUGGUGCAUGGAUCCGUAACCGGUGGAAACCUGCCUAUAGGUUCGGCUUGACUCAGAGAAUUUCGUCCUAAAACCGGCGCUUGUCUCCCGUCCAAAGAUUUAUCGACUUUAGAUGGUCCCGCGAUGGAUUAGUUAGAUGGUGGGGUAAAGGCCUAUCACUGGGACGAUCCAUAGCUGGUUUGAGAGGAUGCGCAGCCACACUGGGACUGAGACACGGCCCAGACUCCUACGGGAGGCAGCAGUGGGGAAUAUUGGACAAUGGGCGAAAGCCUGAUCCAGCAAUGCCGCGUGAGUGAUGAAGGCCUUAGGGUUGUAAAGCUCUUUUACCCGAGAUGAUAAUGACAGUAUCGGGAGAAUAAGCUCCGGCUAACUCCGUG
This 433-nucleotide ribosomal RNA is filed under the name uncultured bacterium. Its description in RNAcentral is "partial 16S ribosomal RNA". It matches the Rfam family "Bacterial small subunit ribosomal RNA", at positions 29 to 507 of the family's 1533-position model. The record is from RNAcentral.